AAGACUCCUGGAAGAACACCAGGUUGAUAGGUCAGAGAUGUAAGCAUGGCAACAUGUUAAGUUGACUGAUACUAAUAAGUCGAGGGCUUGACCAAAA
Molecule: ribosomal RNA, 97 nt
Filed under: Clostridium botulinum
Lineage: Bacteria; Bacillati; Bacillota; Clostridia; Eubacteriales; Clostridiaceae
Also listed under: 1 other name
Description: partial 23S ribosomal RNA
Rfam family: Bacterial large subunit ribosomal RNA
Source: RNAcentral